This 617-nucleotide ribosomal RNA is filed under the name uncultured bacterium. RNAcentral describes it as "bacterial SSU rRNA". It matches the Rfam family "Bacterial small subunit ribosomal RNA", at positions 338 to 951 of the family's 1533-position model. The record is from RNAcentral.
CCUACGGGAGGCAGCAGUGGGGAAUAUUGGACAAUGGGCGAAAGCCUGAUCCAGCAAUUCCGCGUGUGUGAAGAAGGCCUUCGGGUUGUAAAGCACUUUAGUGGGGGAAGAAACAGCUUGGCCACACCAAGCCUUGACGGUACCCCCAAGAAUAAGCACCGGCUAACUCUGUGCCAGCAGCCGCGGUAAUACAGAGGGUGCAAGCGUUAAUCGGAUUUACUGGGCGUAAAGGGUGCGUAGGUGGCUAUUUAAGUCGGAUGUGAAAGCCCGGGGCUCAACCUCGGAAUUGCAUUCGAUACUGAGUGGCUAGAGUUCGGUAGAGGGCGGCGGAAUUUCCGGUGUAGCGGUGAAAUGCGUAGAUAUCGGAAGGAACAUCAAUGGCGAAGGCAGCCGCCUGGGCCUGGACUGACACUGAGGCACGAAAAGCGUGGGUAGCAAACAGGAUUAGAUACCCUGGUAGUCCACGCCGUAAACGAUGAGAACUUGACGUUGGUUCGUUUUACGAAUCGGUGUCGCAGCUAACGCGAUAAGUUCUCCGCCUGGGGAGUACGGCCGCAAGGUUGAAAACUCAAAAGGAAUUGACGGCUGAGACGNGCGAGACGACACGAGGGAGGAGG